Molecule: ribosomal RNA, 466 nt
Filed under: uncultured bacterium
Lineage: Bacteria
Description: bacterial SSU rRNA
Rfam family: Bacterial small subunit ribosomal RNA
Source: RNAcentral
GAUGAACGCUAGCGGCAGGCUUAAUACAUGCAAGUCAAGGGGGUAGCAAUACAACCGGCGCACGGGUGAGUAACACGUACACAACAUACCAUAUACUGAGGUAUAGCUUCGGGAAACUGAAGGUAAUCCCUCAUAGUAUUGUGAAAGGGCAUCUUUUACAAUUAAAGUUUCGACGGUAUAUGAUUGGUGUGCGUUUGAUUAGCUAGUUGGUAGGGUAACGGCCUACCAAGGCAACGAUCAAUAGCUGGCGUGAGAGCGCGACCAGCCACACUGGAACUGAGACACGGUCCAGACUCCUACGGGAGGCAGCAGUGAGGAAUAUUGGGCAAUGCUCGAAAGAGUGACCCAGCAACGCCGCGUGGAGGAUGAAGGUAUUCUAUAUCGUAAACUCCUGUGAGAGCAGACGAAAGACAGAUUAUUAAUCUGGAUGACUGUAUGCUCAGAGGAAGCCCCGGCUAACUACGUG